GGCGGCAUGCUUAACACAUGCAAGUCGAACGGCAGCAUGUUGUGUAGCAAUACACAAUGAUGGCGAGUGGCGGACGGGUGAGUAACGCGUAGGAACCUGCCUUAGAGAGGGGGACAACCCGAGGAAACUCGGGCUAAUACCGCAUAAAGUUGAGAAACCAAACGCUGGGUGGCAACACCUGGCACUCUAAGAGGGGCCUGCGUCUGAUUAGCUAGUUGGUGGGGUAAAAGCCUACCAAGGCGAUGAUCAGUAGCUGGUCUGAGAGGACGAUCAGCCACACUGGGACUGAGACACGGCCCAGACUCCUACGGGAGGCAGCAGUGGGGAAUAUUGGACAAUGGGGGCAACCCUGAUCCAGCAAUGCCGCGUGUGUGAAGAAGGCCUUCGGGUUGUAAAGCACUUUGGCCCGGGAAGAAGGUAUUUUGUUUAAGAGAUGAGAUAUUUGACUGUACCGGGAGAACAAGCACCGGCUAACUCUGUGCCAGCAGCCGCGGUAAUACAGANGGUGCGAGCGUUAAUCGGAAUUACUGGGCGUAAAGGGCGCGUA
RNAcentral lists this ribosomal RNA (547 nucleotides) under uncultured Gammaproteobacteria bacterium. RNAcentral describes it as "bacterial SSU rRNA". It matches the Rfam family "Bacterial small subunit ribosomal RNA", at positions 38 to 573 of the family's 1533-position model. Lineage: Bacteria; Pseudomonadati; Pseudomonadota; Gammaproteobacteria. The record is from RNAcentral.